Molecule: ribosomal RNA, 253 nt
Filed under: uncultured bacterium
Lineage: Bacteria
Description: partial 16S ribosomal RNA
Rfam family: Bacterial small subunit ribosomal RNA
Source: RNAcentral
UACGUAGGGGGCAAGCGUUGUCCGGAAUCAUUGGGCGUAAAGCGCGUGUAGGCGGCGUGGCAAGUCGGGUGUGAAAGCCCUCAGCUCAACUGAGGAAGUGCGCCCGAAACUGCUGUGCUUGAGUGCCGGAGAGGGUGGCGGAAUUCCCCAAGUAGAGGUGAAAUUCGUAGAUAUGGGGAGGAACACCGGUGGCGAAGGCGGCCACCUGGACGGUAACUGACGCUGAGACGCGAAAGCGUGGGGAGCAAACAGG